GCACCAUCGCUUCACCUCAACAACAAAAACAAAAACCAACAAAUCUAUUUUCUCAUCUUUCACUUUUUUUUUCUUUCUCGUGUCGAGUAUCACCAAAACAAAACUCCACUAUUCAACGACUUGUGUUGUGUUAUAUAUACGAGGUACACUCUCAACUUGUCCCUAUCUUAAUCUCUCUCUCUCUCUCUCUCUCAAACCCCUCUUCUAUCUUCUCUUAAACCCAUCGACACAGUAACAAAGGAAAAACGAAACGCUAUCUCAUUCCAACCAACCAUUGCCGUUAAUGCGAUUCUUUAA
Non-coding RNA from Vicia faba (fava bean), 297 nucleotides. NCBI's taxonomy places the organism in Eukaryota, Viridiplantae, Streptophyta, Magnoliopsida, Fabales, Fabaceae. The record is from the annotation of a GenBank genome assembly.